GUCCAGCUGAUGAGUCCCAAAUAGGACGUAAUGCGCAUCCUGCAU
Molecule: non-coding RNA, 45 nt
Filed under: Trichobilharzia regenti
Lineage: Eukaryota; Metazoa; Platyhelminthes; Trematoda; Strigeidida; Schistosomatidae
Source: RNAcentral